This 484-nucleotide long non-coding RNA is filed under the name Mus pahari (shrew mouse). RNAcentral describes it as "lncRNA (MGP_PahariEiJ_G0004721.1)". Lineage: Eukaryota; Metazoa; Chordata; Mammalia; Rodentia; Muridae. The record is from RNAcentral.
CUGAGCUUGGAAGGACGAGGAAAGAGCUGCAGAGGCGGAGACUCUGACCCCAAGGCAAUCAAAGAAAGGCCUUUCCCUGGCUUCCGUGUCCCUGUGGCAGGCUGGCGGUGGUGGUCGAAAUCUCUGCCCCUCAGAGUCCUGGGGAGGAUGGGUGGAAGAGGAGCAGCAUCACAAGAAGGCUUCCUGUAAACUAUGGAGGGUGCCCGUGGAAGCCAGCAGAGGGUGUAGGAUCUCCUGGAGCCAUGUGUCUGGAGUUACAAGAAGUUGUGAACCUCUCAACAUGGGUUCUGGGAAUUGAGCCUAGGUCCUCUGGAAGGACAUCAAGUGCUCUUAACCACUGAGCCAUCUCUGCAGCCCAACCCCAGCCCCUGGAGGCUGAAGCAAAGCAAGUUCAACGACUGUGCGACCUGGCUCUUGUUUGGACCUAAGGAAAAGCGACUGUAAGCAGGGAGGCAUCUCUGGCAAGAGAUGAAUAAGCACGUUU